This 468-nucleotide ribosomal RNA is filed under the name uncultured bacterium. RNAcentral describes it as "partial 16S ribosomal RNA". It matches the Rfam family "Bacterial small subunit ribosomal RNA", at positions 28 to 507 of the family's 1533-position model. The record is from RNAcentral.
GACGAACGCUGGCGGCGUGCUUAACACAUGCAAGUCGAACGGAAAGGCCCUGCUUUUGUGGGGUGCUCGAGUGGCGAACGGGUGAGUAACACGUGAGUAACCUGCCCUUGACUUUGGGAUAACUUCAGGAAACUGGGGCUAAUACCGGAUAGGAGCUCCUGCUGCAUGGUGGGGGUUGGAAAGUUUCGGCGGUUGGGGAUGGACUCGCGGCUUAUCAGCUUGUUGGUGGGGUAGUGGCUUACCAAGGCUUUGACGGGUAGCCGGCCUGAGAGGGUGACCGGCCACAUUGGGACUGAGAUACGGCUCAGACUCCUACGGGAGGCAGCAGCGGGGAAUAUUGCACAAUGGGCGGAAGCCUGAUGCAGCAACGCCGCGUGCGGGAUGACGGCCUUCGGGUUGUAAACCGCUUUCGCCUGUGACGAAGCGUGAGUGACGGUAAUGGUUAAAGAAGCACCGGCUAACUACGUG